UACGUAGGUGGCAAGCGUUGUCCGGAUUUACUGGGCGUAAAGAGCGUGUAGGCGGCCAAACAGGUCCGUUGUGAAAACUGGAGGCUCAACCUCCAGACGUCGACGGAAACCGUAUGGCUAGAGUCCGGUAGAGGAGAGUGGAAUUCCUGGUGUAGCGGUGAAAUGCACAGAUAUCAGGAAGAACACCUAUGGCGAAGGCAGCUCUCUGGGACGGUACUGACGCUGAGACGCGAAAGCGUGGGGAGCGAACAGG
Molecule: ribosomal RNA, 253 nt
Filed under: uncultured bacterium
Lineage: Bacteria
Description: partial 16S ribosomal RNA
Rfam family: Bacterial small subunit ribosomal RNA
Source: RNAcentral